Molecule: ribosomal RNA, 435 nt
Filed under: uncultured bacterium
Lineage: Bacteria
Description: partial 16S ribosomal RNA
Rfam family: Bacterial small subunit ribosomal RNA
Source: RNAcentral
AGCGAACGCUGGCGGCAGGCUUAACACAUGCAAGUCGAACGGGCAUCUUCGGAUGUCAGCGGCAGACGGGUGAGUAACACGUGGGAACGUACCCUUCGGUUCGGAACAACUCUGGGAAACUGGAGCUAAUACCGGAUACGCCCUUAUGGGGAAAGGUUUACUGCCGAAGGAUCGGCCCGCGUCUGAUUAGCUAGUUGGUGGGGUAACGGCCUACCAAGGCGACGAUCAGUAGCUGGUCUGAGAGGAUGAUCAGCCACACUGGGACUGAGACACGGCCCAGACUCCUACGGGAGGCAGCAGUGGGGAAUAUUGGACGAUGGGCGCAAGCCUGAUCCAGCCAUGCCGCGUGAGUGAUGAAGGCCUUAGGGUUGUAAAGCUCUUUUGUCCGGGACGAUAAUGACGGUACCGGAAGAAUAAGCCCCGGCUAACUUCGUG